CGAGCGGUCACAGAAGAGAUGACGUCUGUCGUCUACGUGUAUGCUGACGAGCGACGGACGGGUGAGUAAUGCUUGGGAACAUGCCUUGAGGGGGGUGACUCCGGUUGGAAACAACUGCUAAUACCGCAUUCCGUCUACCGACCGGAGGGGGCUUCAGCUCUCGCCUUUGCAUUGGCCCACGUGGGAUUACCUAGUUGGUGAGGUAAUGGCUCACCAAGGGAACGAUCCCUACCUGGAUUGAUAGGAUGAUCAGCCACACUGGAACUGACACUGGGUCUGAACUCCUACGGGAGGCCCUACUGGGGAAUAUUGCACAAUGUCUUCAAGCCUGAUGCAGCCUUGCCGCGAGUGUGAACAAGGCCUUCAGGUUGGAAAGCACUUUCAAUCACGAUGAAAGGUUAGAAGAUAAUACCUGCUAGCUGUGACGUUACUGACGGAAGAACCACCGGCUAACUCCGUGCCUACAUCCGCGGCAAUACGGAGGGUGCUAGCGUUGAUCGGAAUUACUGGCCGAAAAGCUGACCCAGGCGGUUUGUUAAGCGAGAUGUGAAAGCCCAGGGCUCAACCUGCGAACUGCCUUUCGAACUGGCAAGCUAAAUUGUGAUAUAGGGUGGUAAAAUUUCAAGUGUAACUCCGAAAUGCGUAGAGAUCUGAAGGAAUAUCUAUGGCAACAGCAGCCACCUGGGUCACUCUUGACGCUCAUGCUCAAACUCGUGAGGAGCAAACUGGAUUAGAUACCCCGGUAGACCACGCCGUAAACCAUGUCUACUACAAUCUCGGCUCCUCGGACUUGUUUUUCAAAGCUAACGCAUUAAGUAGACCGCCUGGGGAGUACGGCCGCAAGGUUAAAACUCAAAUGAAUUGACGGGGGCCCGCACAAGCGGUGGAGCAUGUGGUUUAAUUUGAUGCAACGCGAAGAACCUUACCUACACUUGACAUACAUAGAACUUACCAGAGAUGGUUUGGUUCCUUUGGGAACUAUGAUACAGGUGGUGCAUGGCUGUUGUCAGCUUGUGUUGUGAGAUGUUGGGUUAAGUCCCGCAACGAGCGCAACCCCUAUCUUUAGUUGCUAGCAGGUAAUGUUGAGAACUUUAAGGAGACUGCCGGUGAUAAACCGGAGGAAGGUGGGGAGGACGUCAAGUCAUCAUGGCCCUUACGCGUAGGGCUACACACGUGCUCCAAUGGCGCAUACAGAGUGCUGGGAACUGGAGAGAGUAAGCGAAUCACUUAAAGUGCGUUCUAGUCCGGAUUCGAUUCUGCAAUUGGACUCCAUGAAGUGGGAAUCGUUAGUAAUCGGGUAUCACAAUGAC
RNAcentral lists this ribosomal RNA (1310 nucleotides) under Pseudoalteromonas sp. RNAcentral describes it as "partial 16S ribosomal RNA". It matches the Rfam family "Bacterial small subunit ribosomal RNA", at positions 63 to 1358 of the family's 1533-position model. Lineage: Bacteria; Pseudomonadati; Pseudomonadota; Gammaproteobacteria; Alteromonadales; Pseudoalteromonadaceae. The record is from RNAcentral.